RNAcentral lists this long non-coding RNA (7092 nucleotides) under Homo sapiens (human). Its description in RNAcentral is "HSALNT0338040". The record is from RNAcentral. Lineage: Eukaryota; Metazoa; Chordata; Mammalia; Primates; Hominidae.
CCAAGUGCCAAGUGGCAAGGUGCAAAUUAGCCAUCAAGUCACCAACUGCACGAGCCCAUUCUUCUCAACUUGCCCCUCAGUUCUUCAUGCUGUCUUCUUAUUUCCACUCUACUAAUCGUACUACUGGGUCCAGAGCCAUCUGGUUUGUCUAAUUCUUGAGUUUUCAUUUAUUUAUUUUGAGACAGGACCUCAUUCUGUCACCCAGGCUGGAGUGCAGUGGCACCAUCAUGGCUCACUGCAGCCUUGGCCUCCCAGGCUCAAGCAAUCCUUUAGCCUCCGCCUCCCGAGUAGCUGGGACUACAGGUGCGGGCUACCAUGCCUAGCUAAUGUUUUAAUUUUGUAGAGAUGGGUUUCACCAUGUUGCGCAGGCUGGUCUGGGCUCAAGCAGUCCUCCUGUCUCAGCCUCCCAAAGUGCUAGGUUUACAGGUGUAAGCCACUGCACCUGGCUCUCGAGUGUUUUUAGUGAAGAGUUUUUGCACCUGGCUGCAAACACUUGCUCUGUGCACUGUGCUUUCUUUUCAUGUGGCUGUUUGUGCUCCGUUCUCUGGCUCUGGUCUCCAGUACUCCAGGUAAGCAGGACCACAUAGCUGCAGUAUUGGCUGGUAAUGACACCACUCAGUGAAUCUGGUGGGGGAAUCUGAAAUACUCAACCGCUCGCUCAUACAGGUGGCUAUUAGGUCUUAACGCACUUCAGAAAUACAGGGUUCAAUGAUCAUUACAAAGCACUACACUUACUUUCCCAAACCCCCGCCUGUGGGCCCCAGGUGCAAGUGUGGGAAACGCCCUUUCGAAGGCUAAGAGGGAGCUCACGCUCCCCCUAGUGCCCAUUCACUCCGCGUUACAGAAAAAUGAAAUUCAGUUCAUUUCCUGGAUCCAUUCAUCCAGUCAUUCAGUAAAUAUUUAUUGAACACCCCAGGCGCUGUUCCGGGUUUUUUUGUUUUUUGUUUUUUGUUGUUGUUGUUGUUUUUGAGACGGAGUAUUGCUCUGUUGUCCAGGCUGGAGUGCAGUGGUGCGAUCUCGGCUCACUGCAACCUCCGCCUCCUGGGUUCAAGCAAUUCUCCUGCUUCAGCCUUCCGAGUAGCUGGGAUUACAGGUGCCCGCCACCACGCCCGGCUAAUUUUUGUAUUUUUAGUAGAGACGGGGUUUCACCAUGUUGGUCAGGCUGGUCUCGAACUCCUGACCUCAGGCCCUCGGCGUCCCAAAGUGUUGGGAUUAUAGGCAUGGACCACCACGCCCGGCCUGUUCAAGGUUCUUAAGGUUCAUGACUUGACUGACUGGUCAUUUAUACCCUAUUCUACAUCUAACAAAAAUAUGAUGCAGCUUACAAUAAAAGCUUAUAGAAGACAGCUAAAAUAAAGUCAGAGAGACAUCAGCAGCCAGUGAAAAAGGACUGAUAAUUCUACUAAGAACAGGAAGUAAAACAGUGACCACUUCAACCUUAAAUGUAUUUCUGACCUUCCUGGUAGCCAAGGCAAAGCAAAACAAAACGAAAUGAAAAGUCAAGAUGCUGUCUAUAGCUUUAAUACACUGAAAGAAAUACAGAAAGACAUCCUCAAAAUGCAAACGACUAAGACAAUUGCCCAGGUGCAGUGGCUCACGCUUGUAAUCCCAGCACUCUGGGAGGCCGAGGCGGGCGGAUCAACUGAGGUCAGGAGUUGGAGACCAGCCUGACCAACAUGGUGAAACCCUGUCUCUACUAAAAAUACAAAAUUAGCCAGGAUUGGUGGGACAUGCCUGUAAUCUCAGCUACUCGGGAGGCUGAGGCAGGGGAAUCACUUGAACCCGGGAGGCAGAGGUUGCAGUGAGCCAAGAUCGCACCAUCGCACUCCAGCCUGGGCAACAAGAGUGAAACUCCGUCUCAAGAAGAAAAAAAAGAAAAGACUAAGACGAUCAACUCCCUAGACAGACAGCUCCUUCUGGCUUGGCAGAAGAUGUGCAAAACUGUACUUUCUGUAUCACUAUAUUGACCUCAAAUUAAAGCCAAGGAUAUAACACUACAUUGUAAUUCACUGGAAGUAUUUCAAAUACAGACCAAAGCAGGAAACCUUCUGGUGUUCCCAGUUGCCUGGGACUGAGCUUAGAGAACUCGAGAAAGACAUCAUGGAGGGCAACAUUGCUUAUGGUACUGGAAUCACUAUGCCAUGUAUUGAUGGCCCGCGUCUGCAGACAAUGUCCUUAAUAUGAUUUGAUGUAUGCAAACAUCUGACUAUUUCACCUUGUCUUCUCAUGCAGUUUACAUAUACAAGUACAUAUUAUCAUUCACUAUCCCUUUACUUCUUUUCUUUUGAGACAGAGUCAUAGUCUAUUUUUCCAAGACAAAGUAUGCCUAGGUGACAAUUUACUCAUUUUAAAAUUAUCUUUCAGGUUUUUUGUUUUGUUUUUUCAUAAAGUUUUUCCUAGCCAUUAACAGUUUCUCUUUUUUUCUUUUUUCUUUUUCUCUCUUUUUUUUUUUUUUUUUUUUUGAGCCAGAGUCUCGCUCUGCCACCCAGGCUGGAGUGCAAUGGUGCAAUCUCGCCUCACUACAACCUCUACCUCCCAGGUUCCAGCGAUUCUCUUGACUCAGCCUCCUGAGUAGCUGGGAUUACAGGCACGCGCCAUCACACACGGCUAAUUUUUGUAUUUUUAGUAGAGAAAGGGUUUCACCAUGUUGGCCAGACUGGUCUUGAACUCCUGACCUCAGUUGAUCUGUCCGCCUCGGCCUCCCAAAGUACUGGGAUUACAGGCAUGAGUCACCGUGCCCGGCCACUACUAAGGGUUUUUAAGGUGGCAGAUGGAGUUAAUUAGUAAACUGAAUGAGCCUAUAGUAAGUACCAGGAAGAUCAGAGAUAACUUCCAAACACCUCACAGCAUUAGCAAGAAAAAGUGAACCUUUACAGAUUUAAAUUCUGGUCACUUACACUAGCAAGAUAUGAAAAACCACAUGGAGUUACUUUACAUAGUCUUAAAAAUGGAUAAAACAAAUGUAAUUCUCUCUUGAAUGCUUUUGGUUUUGUGCCAUUUUGAAGUAGAACAUGAGGUAGUCAAGGAAUUCUGUGAAAUCUAUUAAAAUUCGCUGCAUAUUUCUCCACACUGUCCCGCCAUCACCACACAACACCAGGUUUGUGCUUCAGGCCCUUCUACAACAAUAGAGUAAGGGAGUAAGGUGGAUGAUUUUUUUUUUUUUGAGACAGAGUCUCGCUCUGUCGCCCAGGCUGGAGUGCAGUGGCACAAUCUCCACUCACUGCAAGCUCCACCUCCCGGGUUUACGCCAUUCUCCUGCCUCAGCCUCCUGAGUAGCUGGGACUACAGGCGCCUGCCACCAUGCCCGGCUAAUUUUUUGUACUUUUAGUAGAGAUGGGGUUUCACCGUGUCAGCCAGGAUGGUCUCGAUCUCCUGACCUCGUGAUCUGCCCGCCUCAGCCUCCCAAAGUGCUGGGAUUACAGGCGUGAGCCAUCGCACCCGGCCAAGGAUGACAUUUUUAACACUCACAAAGCAGGUAACAGGAAUAGUUGUCACAGGGGUCCUGAACUGGCUGCACCCACCUGCUUGCAGGCAAACGACCACAUGCAACCACCCAGAGCAGCAGUGAUGUUGCUGAAUGGACCACGAGGAAGAGGAAGACUGACAGGUGACAGGAAAGGACAGGACACCUGCCUGGCUGAGACGCCACCGCCAGGCCUGGGAGAAGAGGGGAGUUGUGUGAGGAUUGGAAAGGAGGAGAAGGCAUCUCUAGGGUGAGAGACGGCAGAUGUGACAAUACUGAGGUGGGAAUGUGUCACUCUUCCACUCUCCAGUGAAGUCACGCUGGUUUUCCCUUCCCGUAAACACAUUCUAAAGCACAGGCAUCCCAGUCGUGACCUCCCGAUCCAGUUCUCCUGACUCCUCCAUCCUCAGUUCCCACAGAAUGCUCGCCACUCCCAUACUGACCUCAUUCAAGACCAUUCCCUGACCACAUGCGCUCUGCAUUUCCACGCAUCGGCCCCACUCUUCCUUCUGCCCAAUGAGGCAAGAGAUGGGGACAGUCAUGAGACCAGGGCUGGGGGCUGGCUGUGUGGGUGAGUAGCUGCCUCUGCCACCGACUUGCUGUUGAGCUGAUGAUGGGCAAGUUACUUAAGCCCUCUGGGGCUUCAUGUCCUCAUCUACGAAGUAGACAGGUGCAGCACCCACUUCACGGCGGUGCUAUGAUGACGAAACGUGCUGAUGCAUGUGGAGACCUCUAGAGCACAGUGCUCAGCUCAUAAGUACACUCAGCUAAUGCCGGCUGACAGUCGUGGUACUAACAGUAAGAGCAGCCUCACUCUUACUAUUAGCCCUUCAAGGGCCAGAUCAAGGCUACCCAGUUCAGAAACUUUCUCCUCAUUUACAAUAAAGAUCCAUUGCUCCUUCAAAUUUAACUGCUUUCUAAUUUGUAUAUUUCGAUGGUGACCCUGAUUUCAUUCUGUCUUGAGUGUUUGCCUUCUAGGGACAAUAUCAGAUUUCAGCGAUUCCCCCAUCACCCAGCCAGGAGGCACUUGAUGUUUGGCUUGAAUUGAGAAACCUGAAGAAUAUUGCGACACGGAGAUUUACUCCGAUGUCAAACUUCCUUCCUAGGGCAGGAAGCCCAUAUUCAAGUACAGCAGGAAGUAAGGACGGGCAGGGGGCAAGUGAGUCCUCACUGCAGAAAACCUCAGUCUUCAGAAAUCCAAAAAGCAUAGAAAAAUCUGAGUCAUUUUGGAAUUUAACAGGAAUCUUUGAAAUUGUAUGUUAAUCAUCUCACGCAGGAAUUCACAAUCUCAUAGCUUGAAUACGGAAAUCUCCUAGGUCCAUUUUCCCAGGAUGACAUUUAUUCGGUCACUCCAUCAUUUGCUCAACAAGAUCUUAAAUGCUCUAUGAUGUCCCAAGCACUGAGUCAGGCACCGUCCUCACCUGCUCGGAGCUUAGAUCCAGUCUCCUAACUCCCCUGCUACAUUUUUGUAAUGGUGCCUGUCUUUGUUUUACAGCACUCCAUCGAUCAGCCUGAUUUUAUCUGGCAAUUAAAAAUGAAUAAAUCCCACACCACAGCACCACCUGGAAGGAAACAUUCUCCUACAGCCAUGUGGAGAAGCCCCCCCGACACUCAGCCAUCCUGUCUCUGUGUCACUUUUGGAGCCAGACAGUCUGGGCUCAUACCCAGCCAGGACUCAGCCACGUGCUCUCAGGCCAGCUGCUUCAUCUCUGGGAGACUGGCCUUCCUCCUCCGUGACAUGGAGCCAUCCCUGCUUCACAGGGCUGUUUGGGGAACUCACUGAGUCAUCCAGGCACAGCCCUAGAGCAACAGCCAGAACAAAGCAAGCCCGACUCAAAAGGGUUUCUUCUACCCUUCCAUCUCCCCUUCAGGAAGGCCCAAGAGUAGGAAGUUAAGCCACUGUUCUGGGAUUGGGAGGGACGCGGGCAGCCAUGGGGAAAACUUCAAUCUAGGUGUUUCCAUUGGUCUUUAUCUGGUCAUGCUGUAUCCCAGUGGAACUUCGGCAUCCAGACAAACACAGUUUGGUUACGGCAUUGAGUGUGUCAGUUCAACACUGAUUUUAUUGGCCUCUAUGUAUCAAGCACGUGCCAGAUAUCGAGGAUCUAAAAAGAAGUGAGACUCAAUCUCUGCAUUUAAGAAGGACCCAUCCCAGCCAGAACAUGGACACACAGACAAAUAACUCAUAACAUGGUGGGAUGAGUACAAAACCCAAGGAUCAGAAGGCAAGAGUCACUCCACACAGGAGCAGAGAGGGCUGGUGGGACCAGGGAGGGCUUCCCAGGGAGAGACGUGUGGGACAGCUCCGCCAGGGGACUGAAAUAGUCAGCCAUGCACUAGGAGUUUGAAACAAUGCCUGCUUGCUUUCCUCAGCCUAACAGCAAAUCUUGACUUUGGCUUCUAAAUCUGGUGAAAGGGGAAAAGUACAAGAAAAGUAAAACCAAUGAAGAAAAGAGAUGAGGAGGAUGGGAAAGGGACACAUUGUUUAUUCUUAGGGGCCCCUAUUUCUUUCAUCCAAUCAUCUAUUGUCUCUGAGCAGUCAGUCAUCAGAUCAAAGGAAAUAAAUGUUCAGCCCUCCCUGGUACGGGGGAAACGUCACCAGAGUGGAAAUGCAGAGAUCUGCGGUAGCAUGAGUGCGUGUGAAUGUGACUGUCAUCACCACACACGCUUUCAAGGGAAGACUACAGAACGUUCUCAAAGCCCACAAGCCACAGCCCUGCAGGUCAUUUCAAGCGGGCGGCAGCUCGCUCCUGUAUUGUUUACCACAGCUAUUUCCUUGAGAAGUUUCACAGCUUCAGCGUGCAGCCACCAUGCUUUCUGCCUCGUACACAGGGGAAAAGUUGAGUGACUGCAUUGUCCUUGAAAUUUUACCUGAAAACCUCAUGACUUUUUUGCUUGCAUAGAUUCUUUUUUUUUUUCUCUGAGACGGAGUUCGCUCUUGUUGCCCAGGCGGGAAUGCAAUGGCGCGAUCUUGGCUCACCACAACCUCCGCCUCCCAGGUUCAUGAAAUUCUCCUGCCUCAACCUCCCGAGUAGCUGACAUUACAGGCAUGCACCACCAUCCUCCGCUAAUUUUGUAUUUUUAGUAGAGACAGGGUUUCUUCAUGUUGGUCAGGCUGGUCUCAAACUCCCAACCUCAGGUGAUCUGCCCACCGUGGCCUCCCAAAGUGCUGGGAUUACAGGUGUGAGCCACUGCGACCGGCCUGCUUGCAUAGAUUCUUUACGGAAGCUGAUUACAGCCACAAAGGAAGGUGAUGAAUAAAGAACAGCUCUCAGCUCAGUUCCCUAUUCAUAGGCUUAAAAGACUCAUUUUUGCAACAAUGAGACAGCACGCAUGCAUAUCCAUCAGAAAGUCUGACACAGAAAUGAAGAUGUGCGUUUAUACAUUUUCUGUCUAUCUUGUUACUCAUUCAGAGGUGGGUUUUCUGGGAAGCGAAUGACACCUCAACUUCAGAAUCCUUUAUUUGCACGGCCCUGUCCAAGGCCCUAGAUGCCCUGUACCUGGUUCCCUCUUUGUUUUCCCAAAGUCUCCACAAGUUGUACAAGUUUCAGGUCCCUCAGAUAUCUCUACUUCACAUUAGAAGACUCGGCUGGGUGCGGUGGCUCACGCCUGUAAUCCCAGCACUUUGGGAA